Molecule: long non-coding RNA, 588 nt
Filed under: Olea europaea subsp. europaea
Lineage: Eukaryota; Viridiplantae; Streptophyta; Magnoliopsida; Lamiales; Oleaceae
Source: RNAcentral
UUAAGCUAUAGUCAUGUUAAGUAUUCUCAAUAUUUAUAGAAUAUCUAACUAAACAACUAAGAAAUCCUAUAAGAUUAUAGUCAAGAAACAAUACUACAAGGAAUAUUUACCCAAAUGAUCCUCUUCUAGAUGUGCUAUCCAGUAAAAAUAUGAUGGCGAUCGACCAUUUGAAAUAUGUCUGCCAUACAUCCUAUUUGCUUUUCAAAUCGGGAUUUUCAUCUGUCAAUGAAUGUAAAAGCUUGGCAGCCAUUUUUACUCCCCUCUCUUCAAUCAAAUUGUCCAAAACUCUCAAAUGUCUAUAUUAAUUCUAUUACCUCUCCACCCUUGUUUUAGAUUUUAGGCCCAUCUUUAAAAUGCUUCUACUGGCGAUAAUUCACCAAUUGUUAAAACCUGUUUUCUUGACACACAAUUUGAAUAAACCUGGUUUUCCUUGUAUUCUUCCUACCCUUUAUAACAUUAUCAAACAAAAGGGCAAUAAAGCUUCUUUCACCAAUCCCAUAUUCAUGUAAUAUAGCGUUAAUCAUUCCAAGCAGUCAAAGAAAAAUCUUUAAUUACAAGCCAAACUCAAUUAUUUGAGCAUCACUCAAG